Molecule: ribosomal RNA, 684 nt
Filed under: uncultured bacterium
Lineage: Bacteria
Description: bacterial SSU rRNA
Rfam family: Bacterial small subunit ribosomal RNA
Source: RNAcentral
GAACCUGCCUCAAAGAGGGGGACAACAGUUGGAAACGACUGCUAAUACCGCAUAAGCCCACGGGUCGGCAUCGACCAGAGGGAAAAGGAGCAAUCCGCUUUGAGAUGGCCUCGCGUCCGAUUAGCUAGUUGGUGAGGUAAUGGCCCACCAAGGCGACGAUCGGUAGCCGGACUGAGAGGUUGAACGGCCACAUUGGGACUGAGACACGGCCCAGACUCCUACGGGAGGCAGCAGUGGGGAAUAUUGCACAAUGGGGGAAACCCUGAUGCAGCGACGCCGCGUGGAGGAAGAAGGUCUUCGGAUUGUAAACUCCUGUUGUUGAGGAAGAUAAUGACGGUACUCAACAAGGAAGUGACGGCUAACUACGUGCCAGCAGCCGCGGUAAAACGUAGGUCACAAGCGUUGUCCGGAAUUACUGGGUGUAAAGGGAGCGCAGGCGGGAAGACAAGUUGGAAGUGAAAUCUAUGGGCUCAACCCAUAAACUGCUUUCAAAACUGUUUUUCUUGAGUAGUGCAGAGGUAGGCGGAAUUCCCGGUGUAGCGGUGGAAUGCGUAGAUAUCGGGAGGAACACCAGUGGCGAAGGCGGCCUACUGGGCACCAACUGACGCUGAGGCUCGAAAGUGUGGGUAGCAAACAGGAUUAGAUACCCUGGUAGUCCACACCGUAAACGAUGAUUACUAGGUG